AGACCCGAAACCCGGUGAUCUAGCCAUGGGCAGGUUGAAGGUUGGGUAACACUAACUGGAGGACCGAACCGACUAAUGUUGAAAAAUUAGCGGAUGACCUGUGGCUGGGGGUGAAAGGCCAAUCAAACCGGGAGAUAGCUGGUUCUCCCCGAAAGCUAUUUAGGUAGCGCCUCGUGAAUUCAUCUCCGGGGGUAGAGCACUGUUUCGGCUAGGGGGCCAUCCCGGCUUACCAACCCGAUGCAAACUGCGAAUACCGGAGAAUGUUAUCACGGGAGACACACGGCGGGUGCUAACGUCCGUCGUGAAGAGGGAAACAACCCAGACCGCCAGCUAAGGUCCCAAAGUCAUGGUUAAGUGGGAAACGAUGUGGGAAGGCCCAGACAGCCAGGAUGUUGGCUUAGAAGCAGCCAUCAUUUAAAGAAAGCGUAAUAGCUCACUGGUCGAGUCGGCCUGCGCGGAAGAUGUAACGGGGCUAAACCAUGCACCGAAGCUGCGGCAGCGAACGUAUCACCCAAGACAACUUUACGGAGUUGACGAUUGACGGAGCGAAGCGACGUCAAAGCGUUCAUUAAAGUCGAGUUGGCUUAGGGAUACGUUCGUUGGGUAGGGGAGCGUUCUGUAAGCCUGUGAAGGUGUGUCGUGAGGCAUGCUGGAGGUAUCAGAAGUGCGAAUGCUGACAUAAGUAACGAUAAAGCGGGUGAAAAGCCCGCUCGCCGGAAGACCAAGGGUUCCUGUCCAACGUUAAUCGGGGCAGGGUGAGUCGACCCCUAAGGCGAGGCCGAAAGGCGUAGUCGAUGGGAAACGGGUUAAUAUUCCCGUACUUGGUGUUACUGCGAAGGGGGGACGGAGAAGGCUAUGUUGGCCGGGCGACGGUUGUCCCGGUUUAAGCGUGUAGGUGUGUGUUCCAGGUAAAUCCGGUUCACUUUAACACUGAGGCGUGACGACGAGGCACUACGGUGCUGAAGCAACAAAUGCCCUGCUUCCAGGAAAAGCCUCUAAGCAUCAGGUAACACGAAAUCGUACCCCAAACCGACACAGGUGGUCAGGUAGAGAAUACCAAGGCGCUUGAGAGAACUCGGGUGAAGGAACUAGGCAAAAUGGUGCCGUAACUUCGGGAGAAGGCACGCUGACACGUAGGUGAAGUGAUUUACUCAUGGAGCUGAAGUCAGUCGAAGAUACCAGCUGGCUGCAACUGUUUAUUAAAAACACAGCACUGUGCAAACACGAAAGUGGACGUAUACGGUGUGACGCCUGCCCGGUGCCGGAAGGUUAAUUGAUGGGGUCAGCGUAAGCGAAGCUCCUGAUCGAAGCCCCGGUAAACGGCGGCCGUAACUAUAACGGUCCUAAGGUAGCGAAAUUCCUUGUCGGGUAAGUUCCGACCUGCACGAAUGGCGUAAUGAUGGCCAGGCUGUCUCCACCCGAGACUCAGUGAAAUUGAACUCGCUGUGAAGAUGCAGUGUACCCGCGGCAAGACGGAAAGACCCCGUGAACCUUUACUAUAGCUUGACACUGAACAUUGAGCCUUGAUGUGUAGGAUAGGUGGGAGGCUUUGAAGUGUGGACGCCAGUCUGCAUGGAGCCGACCUUGAAAUACCACCCUUUAAUGUUUGAUGUUCUAACGUGGACCCGUAAUCCGGGUUGCGGACAGUGUCUGGUGGGUAGUUUGACUGGGGCGGUCUCCUCCUAAAGA
RNAcentral lists this ribosomal RNA (1689 nucleotides) under Salmonella enterica subsp. enterica serovar Typhimurium. RNAcentral describes it as "partial 23S ribosomal RNA". It matches the Rfam family "Bacterial large subunit ribosomal RNA", at positions 711 to 2296 of the family's 2925-position model. Lineage: Bacteria; Pseudomonadati; Pseudomonadota; Gammaproteobacteria; Enterobacterales; Enterobacteriaceae. The record is from RNAcentral.